This 560-nucleotide ribosomal RNA is filed under the name uncultured Bacillota bacterium. RNAcentral's name for it is "bacterial SSU rRNA". It matches the Rfam family "Bacterial small subunit ribosomal RNA", at positions 340 to 917 of the family's 1533-position model. The record is from RNAcentral. Lineage: Bacteria; Bacillati; Bacillota.
UACGGGAGGCAGCAGUGGGGAAUAUUGCACAAUGGGGGAAACCCUGAUGCAGCGACGCCGCGUGGAGGAAGAAGGUCUUCGGAUUGUAAACUCCUGUUGUUGAGGAAGAUAAUGACGGUACUCAACAAGGAAGUGACGGCUAACUACGUGACAGCAGCCGCGGUAAAAUGUAGGUCACAAGCGUUGUCCGGAAUUACUGGGUGUAAAGGGAGCGCAGGCGGGCGAUCAAGUUGGAAGUGAAAUCCAUGGGCUCAACCCAUGAACUGCUUUCAAAACUGAUUGUCUUGAGUAGUGCAGAGGUAGGCGGAAUUCCCGGUGUAGCGGUGGAAUGAGUAGAUAUCGGGAGGAACACCAGUGGCGAAGGCGGCCUACUGGGCACCAACUGACGCUGAGGCUCGAAAGUAUGGGUAGCAAACAGGAUUAGAUACCCUGGUAGUCCACACCGUAAACGAUGAUUACUAGGUGUUGGAGGAUUGACCCCUUCAGUGCCGCAGUUAACACAAUAAGUAAUCCACCUGGGGAGUACGACCGCAAGGUUACAGCUCAAAGGAAUUGACGGA